Molecule: ribosomal RNA, 1606 nt
Filed under: bioreactor sludge metagenome
Description: bacterial LSU rRNA
Rfam family: Bacterial large subunit ribosomal RNA
Source: RNAcentral
CUCAGACACCGAUAGUGAACCAGUACCGUAAGGGAAAGGUGAAAAGCACCCUAAAUAAGGGAGUGAAAUAGUACCUGAAACCGUACGCCUACAAGCGGUCGGAGCCUGCAUAGCAAUAUGUUGGGUGACGGCGUGCCUUUUGCAUAAUGAGCCUACGAGUUACUCCUCACUGGCGAGGUUAAGUUCUUAAGUAACGGAGCCGUAGCGAAAGCGAGUCCAAAUAGGGCGCUUAGUCAGUGGGGGUAGACGCGAAACUUUGUGAUCUAUCCAUGAGCAGGUUGAAGGUGUGGUAACACACACUGGAGGACCGAACCCAUAAACGUUGAAAAGUUUUGGGAUGACUUGUGGAUAGGGGUGAAAGGCCAAUCAAACUGAGAGAUAGCUCGUUCUCCCCGAAAUGUUUUUAGGAACAGCCUCGGAUAUAGACGUUUACUAGAGGUAGAGCUACUGAUUGGGCUAGGGGGCUUCACCGCCUACCAAACCCUGACAAACUCCGAAUGCUAGUAAAUAUCUCCGGGAGUGAGGCUGCGGGUGCUAAGAUCCGUGGCCGAGAGGGAAAUAACCCAGAUUAGCAACUAAGGUCCCUAAGCGUAUGUUAAGUUGAUCAAACGAGGUGGGAUUUCUAUAACAGCCAGGAUGUUGGCUUGGAAGCAGCCAUUCAUUUAAAGAGUGCGUAACAGCUCACUGGUCGAGAGACUCUGCACGGAAAAUAAUCGGGCAUCAAACUACGAACCGAAGUUCUAAACAUGCCGCUCGGCGGCAUUGUGGUAGGGGAGCAUUGAAAUCUGCUGCGAAGGUGUCUGGCGAUGGAUGCUGGAGCGAUUUCAAAAGAAAAUGUAGGCAUAAGUAACGAUAAAACAAGUGAAAAACUUGUUCGCCGUAAACCCAAGGUUUCCUGAUCAAUGUUAAUCAGAUCAGGGUUAGUCGGGUCCUUAGGCAAACCCGAAAGGGGUAGCUGAUGGAAAGUUGGUUAAUAUUCCAACACCUGCUUAUACUUCGAUGGGGUGACGGGGUAGUGAAAGGUCCGCGUUCUUACGGAAUAGAACGUUAAAGGGUGUAGAUAUAGGCUGCGUAGGCAAAUCCGCGCGGCUUGUCGAACCUGAUAGUACGGCGAAGCUUCGGCCAAGCUGAUAGUGACCCUAAUCAAACCUCCGAGAAAAACCUCUAAGUUAUGGUAUAAGGAGCCCGUACCGUAAACCGACACAGGUGGGUGGGAUGAAUAUUCUAAGGCGCUCGGGUGAGCCGUGGAGAAGGAACUAGGCAAAUUGACGCUGUAACUUCGGGAUAAAGCGUACCUACUUCGGUAGGUCUCAGUAAAAUGGUUCAACCAACUGUUUAACAAAAACACAGGGCCCUGCAAAAUCGAAAGAUGACGUAUAGAGCCUGAUACCUGCCCGGUGCUGGAAGGUUAAGGAAGGGUGUUCGCCGCAAGCCAAAGCUCCUGACUGAAGCCCCAGUAAACGGCGGCCGUAACUAUAACGGUCCUAAGGUAGCGAAAUUCCUUGUCGGGUAAGUUCCGACCUGCACGAAUGGUCUAAUGAGUUGAACACUGUCUCCUCCACGAGCCCGGUGAAAUUGUAGUAUCGGUGAAGAUGCCGGUUACCCG